RNAcentral lists this ribosomal RNA (1471 nucleotides) under Leuconostoc mesenteroides subsp. mesenteroides. RNAcentral's name for it is "bacterial SSU rRNA". It matches the Rfam family "Bacterial small subunit ribosomal RNA". Lineage: Bacteria; Bacillati; Bacillota; Bacilli; Lactobacillales; Lactobacillaceae. The record is from RNAcentral.
GACGCUGGCGGCGUGCCUAAUACAUGCAAGUCGAACGCACAGCGAAAGGUGCUUGCACCUUUCAAGUGAGUGGCGAACGGGUGAGUAACACGUGGACAACCUGCCUCAAGGCUGGGGAUAACAUUUGGAAACAGAUGCUAAUACCGAAUAAAACUUAGUGUCGCAUGACACAAAGUUAAAAGGCGCUUCGGCGUCACCUAGAGAUGGAUCCGCGGUGCAUUAGUUAGUUGGUGGGGUAAAGGCCUACCAAGACAAUGAUGCAUAGCCGAGUUGAGAGACUGAUCGGCCACAUUGGGACUGAGACACGGCCCAAACUCCUACGGGAGGCUGCAGUAGGGAAUCUUCCACAAUGGGCGAAAGCCUGAUGGAGCAACGCCGCGUGUGUGAUGAAGGCUUUCGGGUCGUAAAGCACUGUUGUAUGGGAAGAACAGCUAGAAUAGGAAAUGAUUUUAGUUUGACGGUACCAUACCAGAAAGGGACGGCUAAAUACGUGCCAGCAGCCGCGGUAAUACGUAUGUCCCGAGCGUUAUCCGGAUUUAUUGGGCGUAAAGCGAGCGCAGACGGUUUAUUAAGUCUGAUGUGAAAGCCCGGAGCUCAACUCCGGAAUGGCAUUGGAAACUGGUUAACUUGAGUGCAGUAGAGGUAAGUGGAACUCCAUGUGUAGCGGUGGAAUGCGUAGAUAUAUGGAAGAACACCAGUGGCGAAGGCGGCUUACUGGACUGCAACUGACGUUGAGGCUCGAAAGUGUGGGUAGCAAACAGGAUUAGAUACCCUGGUAGUCCACACCGUAAACGAUGAACACUAGGUGUUAGGAGGUUUCCGCCUCUUAGUGCCGAAGCUAACGCAUUAAGUGUUCCGCCUGGGGAGUACGACCGCAAGGUUGAAACUCAAAGGAAUUGACGGGGACCCGCACAAGCGGUGGAGCAUGUGGUUUAAUUCGAAGCAACGCGAAGAACCUUACCAGGUCUUGACAUCCUUUGAAGCUUUUAGAGAUAGAAGUGUUCUCUUCGGAGACAAAGUGACAGGUGGUGCAUGGUCGUCGUCAGCUCGUGUCGUGAGAUGUUGGGUUAAGUCCCGCAACGAGCGCAACCCUUAUUGUUAGUUGCCAGCAUUCAGAUGGGCACUCUAGCGAGACUGCCGGUGACAAACCGGAGGAAGGCGGGGACGACGUCAGAUCAUCAUGCCCCUUAUGACCUGGGCUACACACGUGCUACAAUGGCGUAUACAACGAGUUGCCAACCCGCGAGGGUGAGCUAAUCUCUUAAAGUACGUCUCAGUUCGGAUUGUAGUCUGCAACUCGACUACAUGAAGUCGGAAUCGCUAGUAAUCGCGGAUCAGCACGCCGCGGUGAAUACGUUCCCGGGUCUUGUACACACCGCCCGUCACACCAUGGGAGUUUGUAAUGCCCAAAGCCGGUGGCCUAACCUUUUAGGAAGGAGCCGUCUAAGGCAGGACAGAUGACUGGGGUGAA